AGACUGGUAGCUCAGUGCAAGAGCAUCUGUACUGGCAAUCAGAAAAUCCCGGGCUCGAGUCCCAAUCAAUCCA
This is a non-coding RNA of Blyttiomyces helicus, 73 nucleotides long. The record is from the annotation of a GenBank genome assembly. Lineage: Eukaryota; Fungi; Chytridiomycota; Chytridiomycetes.